Molecule: ribosomal RNA, 253 nt
Filed under: uncultured bacterium
Lineage: Bacteria
Description: partial 16S ribosomal RNA
Rfam family: Bacterial small subunit ribosomal RNA
Source: RNAcentral
UACGUAGGUGGCAAGCGUUGUCCGGAUUUACUGGGCGUAAAGAGCGCGCAGGCGGUCGUUCAAGUCGAGUGUGAAAGCCCCCGGCUCAACUGGGGAGGGUCACUCGAUACUGAUCGACUCGAAGGCAGAAGAGGGAAGCGGAAUUCCCGGUGUAGCGGUGAAAUGCGUAGAUAUCUGGAGGAACACCGGUGGCGAAGGCGGCAUCCUGGACCGAGAUUGACGCUGAGGCGCGAAAGCCAGGGGAGCAAACGGG